Long non-coding RNA from Girardinichthys multiradiatus, 971 nucleotides. RefSeq lists it as uncharacterized. The record is from RefSeq and is a predicted model, not a curated record. The transcript is spliced from 4 exons. Lineage: Eukaryota; Metazoa; Chordata; Actinopteri; Cyprinodontiformes; Goodeidae.
CACUACCCAAAACUUCAAGAUCUAACAGGGGGAUGGCUGCUUUAUAAACAUUAAGAGGUUCUGGACGGAGAAAACUUUCACUUAUACCUCCAGAGACUGAGGGUUACCAUGGAAACCUUUUGAAAACUGUGACAGUAGGAGGAAAAAACAUGAUCUACAUAUUUCCACUUCAGGAGAAAACUGAUAUGUCUCCUCUUCCUCUGGAUGCUCUAGAACUUCAAAGCAUGCCUAAAGCAUCAUGGGAAGUUUGCAGUGUUACCUUGCAGUUGUAAGUCUUGGCUGUCCGUGUAAAAUCAUGUGUUGACCUCAGAUCUUCAGGAGACGACUUUGAAAUCUCUAAGAUUUUUUAAUAUCUUUAUGCUCUUUAUUUUAUUUUUCUACUUUUUCUUACAAAAAUAUAUUUUAAAAGUAUUCUCAUCAUGAAAGCAGUGCUAAUGAAGGUACUCCAGUGGCAUCAACAUCAAGUACAAAUGAUGCCAGUUUCCCUGGAACACAUCUGUUUUUAAUUUGAGGCAGCUUGUCCAGUAUGUGAAGAGGAAUAUCUGCUGGAUAUUUUACAGAUCCAUGCCAGCUGUUGUGGAGACAGUCUUGAGGAGACCUCACCCAGACCAGAACAGGUUUCCAAAUCACUUGGAGGUGCACUGAAAAAGUCACUGACACAUGUUAAUAUAUCAUUUAUAGCUGACACAUUUCACACAUAGGUGAUCAUGUUAAUUAUUUUAUUUAUUUAUUAUUUACUUUAAAAUAAAUAUAUGUAAUUUUCUGUAUUUAAAUCACACACAAUAUAAUUUAUCCAGAUGCAUUUAAACUAAGUAUAUUCUAUUUAUGUGAAAUAUGGUGGACCAGUGAAUGUGGAGAAGUAAUAAAGUUAAGAAAUAAAGCAUUUAAAGCACUUAAAAUAAUUCCAAUGUUUCAGAACUUAAUUGAAUAUUAAAAAAAAACAAGCAAUGGUGAGGAAAAUUGUUAAAAAU